GCCCGGAUAGCUCAGUUGGUAGAGCAAGGGACUGAAAAUCCUUGUGUCGGCGGUUCAAUUCCGCCUUCGGGCAUCAUCA
RNAcentral lists this transfer RNA (79 nucleotides) under Candidatus Ishikawaella capsulata Mpkobe. RNAcentral's name for it is "tRNA-Phe". It matches the Rfam family "tRNA". From Rfam's summary of the family: Transfer RNA (tRNA) molecules are approximately 80 nucleotides in length. Their secondary structure includes four short double-helical elements and three loops (D, anti-codon, and T loops). The record is from RNAcentral. Lineage: Bacteria; Pseudomonadati; Pseudomonadota; Gammaproteobacteria; Enterobacterales; Enterobacteriaceae.